ACAUCAUUUGUGCCCAAUCACUGUAAUACAUUUGUCAUAUAAUUUCACACAAGCACAACUAGAGUUGUUACUUGUCAUGCGAAGGCCUGAAUCUGGGUAAAUUACAUAUGGGUCAUGUAUCCAUGUGGUAUCCUAAGGUGACAACUCAGAAUCAUACAAAUAAAAUGUGAGCCCCGCACUGUUGUUAGGUAAUUUGCGAAGAAUAUCUUAUAGAUGUGGCAAACACCAUGUAAGCUUGCAUGAUGUCAAAAGACCACAUGCAAAUGCAACCUUAAGAAAAACAAUCACUAAACUUUUCCAACCAACAUUCUUUGGUACCUACCUCAUCGAUGAAAAAUAAAUCACAGGAAUAUAAAAACAAGAUGGAACAUCACCGAAACAACACAUAAUAUGUAAUGUAUAGGAAAUUUGUUUUGUCACAUAGAUCCACAUGAUCACAAGCCUAUAUAUCCCCAUCACAAAGAAGCAGCUGCUGCCGCCAUUGCUAUUGUUCGCGUAAAGGGACAAAUUAAAUGAUUGGAACCAUCAGUUCUUAUUCAUUGAUCUGGGCAUUUGUACCUUCCCAAAGGGUGUGCUACAAGAGGUGUCUUUCAAAGAAAAGGAGUGGUCCAAUAGUCACGUUUGUUGCCUAGCAAGUAGAUGACGGUUAGGGAAGAGGCAAGGACUCUCUAAUUAACAAGAGUUAAUUAGUUCUUAACACUUCUCCUUAUGAUCAUACAUAAUCUUGUUUAAAGUCUCCUCCAAAAUAAUAGAGGAGAUAUAUGCAAUAUGCCCUGAAAAACUCUUUCCAAAAAUCCAGUGGAAAAAUAAGGAGAAUAUGACAUAUCAAAUUUCUUGUAUUGCUAUUGCCUCAUUUAAAAAGUUUCUAUGAAAAAUCAUGUAGCAAAAAACUCCCUAAGGAAAAGAGUGCAAUAUCAAAGAUUUGAAUAAUCAAACAUGUUACCGUUACGAAGUGAAGUCCCCAUGUACCUUGCAAAUAACAAAGCUACCUCAUGCCAAUUCCAUUAAUAGAUUUC
RNAcentral lists this long non-coding RNA (1016 nucleotides) under Hordeum vulgare. RNAcentral describes it as "long non-coding RNA (HVUL_LNC002091)". Lineage: Eukaryota; Viridiplantae; Streptophyta; Magnoliopsida; Poales; Poaceae. The record is from RNAcentral.